AAUAUUGGACAAGGGGCGAGAGCCUGAUCCAGCAAGGCCGCGUGUGUGAAGAUUGUCUACGGCUUGUAAAGCACUUUAAGUUGGGAGGUAGGGUUGUAGGCUAAGACCCUGCAAUUUUGACGAUACCAAUAGAAUAAGCACCGGCUAACUCCGUGUCAGAAGCGGCGGUAAUACGAAGGGUGCAAGCGUUAAUCGGAAUUCCUGGGCGUAAAGCGCGCGUAGGUGGUUCGUUAAGUUGGAAGUGAAAGCCCCGGGCUUAACCUGGGAAUUGCUUUCAAAACUGACGAGCUAGAGUACGGUAGAGGGUAGUGGAAUUUCCUGUGUAGCGGUGAAAUGCGUAGAUAUAGGAAGGAACAUCAGUGGCGAAGGCGACUACCUGGACUGAUACUGACACUGAGGUGCGAAAGCGUGGGGAGCAAACAGG
This 424-nucleotide ribosomal RNA is filed under the name uncultured bacterium. Its description in RNAcentral is "partial 16S ribosomal RNA". It matches the Rfam family "Bacterial small subunit ribosomal RNA", at positions 360 to 776 of the family's 1533-position model. The record is from RNAcentral.